UACGUAGGGGGCUAGCGUUGUCCGGAUUUAUUGGGCGUAAAGAGCGUGUAGGCGGCCAGGUAGGUCUGCUGUGAAAACUCGAGGCUCAACCUCGAGACGUCGGCGGAAACCAUCUGGCUAGAGUCCGGAAGAGGAGAGUGGAAUUCCUGGUGUAGCGGUGAAAUGCGCAGAUAUCAGGAAGAACACCCGUGGCGAAGGCGGCUCUCUGGGACGGUACUGACGCUGAGGUGCGAAAGCGUGGGGAGCAAACAGG
Molecule: ribosomal RNA, 253 nt
Filed under: uncultured bacterium
Lineage: Bacteria
Description: partial 16S ribosomal RNA
Rfam family: Bacterial small subunit ribosomal RNA
Source: RNAcentral